This 301-nucleotide ribosomal RNA is filed under the name uncultured bacterium. RNAcentral describes it as "partial 16S ribosomal RNA". It matches the Rfam family "Bacterial small subunit ribosomal RNA", at positions 509 to 809 of the family's 1533-position model. The record is from RNAcentral.
CAGCCGCCGCGGUAAUACGAAGGGGGCUAGCGUUGUUCGGAAUUACUGGGCGUAAAGCGCACGUAGGCGGAUCGAUCAGUCAGGGGUGAAAUCCCAGGGCUCAACCCUGGAACUGCCUUUGAUACCGUCGAUCUGGAGUAUGGAAGAGGUGAGUGGAAUUCCGAGUGUAGAGGUGAAAUUCGUAGAUAUUCGGAGGAACACCAGUGGCGAAGGCGGCUCACUGGUCCAUUACUGACGCUGAGGUGCGAAAGCGUGGGGAGCAAACAGGAUUAGAUACCCCAGUAGUCCCUGUCUCUUAUAU